UCCCGUUUAGCUCAGUGGUAGAGCGCGUCACUUGUAAUGAUGAGGCCAGUCGUUCGAAUCGGCUAAUGGGAA
Molecule: transfer RNA, 72 nt
Filed under: Ganoderma lucidum G.260125-1
Lineage: Eukaryota; Fungi; Basidiomycota; Agaricomycetes; Polyporales; Polyporaceae
Description: tRNA-Thr (TGT) (tRNA-Thr-TGT-1-1)
Rfam family: tRNA
About the family: Transfer RNA (tRNA) molecules are approximately 80 nucleotides in length. Their secondary structure includes four short double-helical elements and three loops (D, anti-codon, and T loops). Further hydrogen bonds mediate the characteristic L-shaped molecular structure. tRNAs have two regions of fundamental functional importance: the anti-codon, which is responsible for specific mRNA codon recognition, and the 3' end, to which the tRNAs corresponding amino acid is attached (by aminoacyl-tRNA synthetases). tRNAs cope with the degeneracy of the genetic code in two manners: having more than one tRNA (with a specific anti-codon) for a particular amino acid; and 'wobble' base-pairing, i.e. permitting non-standard base-pairing at the 3rd anti-codon position.
Source: RNAcentral